ACCCGUUGAUCCUGCGGGAGGUUGCUGCUCGGGGGAUUCGAUUAAGCCAUGCAAGUCUUCUCGCAAGAGAGGCGAAAUGCUCAGUAACACGUCGUUAACGUGCCCUUUGGUCAGGGAUACCCACGGGAAACUGUGGCUAACACCUGAUAGGGGAACAUAUCUGGAAUGAUGGUUCCUUUCAAACUCGUGCCAAAGGAUCGGACGGCGGCGGAUUAGGUUGUUGGCGGUGUAAUGGACCACCAAGCCGAAGAUCCGUACGGGCCAUGAGAGUGGUAGCCCGGAGAGGGACACUGAGAUACUGGUCCCAGCCCCACGGGGUGCAGCAGGCGCGAAACCUUUACAAUGCACGCAAGUGUGAUAAGGGGAUCCCCCGUGCUCAUGCAUUGCAUGGGCUUUUGCCAAGUGUAAAUAGCUUGGCGAAUAAGUGGUGGGUAAGACUGGUGCCAGCCGCCGCGGUAACACCAGCGCCACGAGUGGUAACCACGAUUAUUGGGCCUAAAGCGUCCGUAGCCGGCCUGGUUAAUCCUUUGUGAAAUUGUUCGGCUUAACCGAACAGCGUGCAAGGGACACUGCCAAGCUUGAGACCGGGAGGAGUCAGAAGUAUUCCAGGGGGAGCGGUAAAAUGUUAUAAUCCCUGGAGGACUACCUGUGGCGAAGGCGUCUGACCAGAACGGAUCUGACGGUGAGGGACGAAAGCCAGGGGAGCGAACCGGAUUAGAUACCCGAGUAGUCCUGGCCGUAAACGCUGUGAGCUAGGUGUUGCGUUAACUACGAGUUGACGCAGUGUCGAAACGAAGGUGUUAAGCUCACCGCCUGGGAAGUACGGUCGCAAGACUGAAACUUUAAGGAAUUGGCGGGGGAGCACCACAAGGGGUGCGGCGUGCGGUUUAAUCUAACUCAACGCAGAGAACCUUACUAGGGGCGACGGCAGGAUGAAGGCCAGCUUGAAGAGCUUACCUGACAGGCCAAGAGGUGGUGCAUGGCCGCCGUCAGCUCGUGCUGUGAAGUGUCCAGCUAAGCCUGGCAACGAGCGAGACCUGUAUCUGCAAUUGCUAACAGCCACAUGUGGGACUGAGCACUUUGCAGAGACUGCCUUGGAAACGAGGAGGAAGGUGCAGGCUACGGUAGGUCUGUAUGCCCCGAAUCCCCUAGGCUACACGCGCGCAACAAUGGUAGGGACAAUGGGAUGCAACUCCGAAAGGAGAAGCUAAACCUCUAAACCCUAUCCAAGUACAGAUCGAGGAUGGCAACUCAUCCUCGUGACGACGGAAUCCCUAGUAAUCAGACGUCAUCAUCGUCUGGUGAAUAUGUCCCUGCUCCUUGCACACACCGCCCGUCAAAUCAACCGAGCAGGGUCUAGGUAAAACGUAGUUUAUUGAUUGCGUUGAAUCUAGGCUCAGUGAGGUGGGUUAAGUCGUCACAAGGUA
RNAcentral lists this ribosomal RNA (1427 nucleotides) under metagenome. RNAcentral describes it as "bacterial SSU rRNA". It matches the Rfam family "Archaeal small subunit ribosomal RNA". The record is from RNAcentral.